Molecule: ribosomal RNA, 466 nt
Filed under: uncultured bacterium
Lineage: Bacteria
Description: bacterial SSU rRNA
Rfam family: Bacterial small subunit ribosomal RNA
Source: RNAcentral
CCUACGGGCUGCAGCAGUGGGGAAUUGUUCGCAAUGGGCGCAAGCCUGACGACGCAACGCCGCGUGGAGGAUGAAGACUUUCGGGUCGUAAACUCCUUUCGACCGAGAUGAAUUCCUGCCGGCCUAAUAUGCCGGCAGGGUGACAGUAUCGAGGGAAGAAGCCCCGGCUAACUCCGUGCCAGCAGCCGCGGUAAUACGGGGGGGGCAAGCGUUGUUCGGAAUUACUGGGCGUAAAGGGUUCGUAGGUGGCCAACUAAGUCAGACGUGAAAUCCCUCAGCUUAACUGGGGAACUGCGUCUGAGACUGGAUGGCUCGAGUGCAGGAGAGGAACGCGGAAUUCCAGGUGUAGCGGUGAAAUGCGUAGAUAUCUGGAGGAACACCGGUGGCGAAGGCGGCGUUUUGGACUGCAACUGACACUGAGGAACGAAAGCCAGGGGAGCAAACGGGAUUAGAUACCCCGGUAGUC